This is a long non-coding RNA of Odocoileus virginianus texanus, 619 nucleotides long. RefSeq lists it as uncharacterized. NCBI's taxonomy places the organism in Eukaryota, Metazoa, Chordata, Mammalia, Artiodactyla, Cervidae. The record is from RefSeq and is a predicted model, not a curated record.
CUGAUUUUGUUUGAAUCCUCUCCUUUGCUUUAUUGUUCAGUCUCAGUUCAUGCCCUGUAUUAAUUCAUGACUUCCUUGAAUUGGGGUCUAUUUCCAACGAUCUCUAUAUUCCAAUUCCAGACAACUUUUACACUGAUCUGUGCAAAACUGGUGUGUUUUGAGUCUCUGAGACAUUCUUCUCCAGCUUCCAGUUAGCAGCACUAGAUUAGUCCAUUUCUCUCACCUUGAGACCACAAUCGAAGUACUGGCUAUGAAGGCUCGGCUGGAGGAAAAUGCUCUUUCAACCUCACUCCUGUGGCUGUUGGUAGGCUCAGAUUGCACAACUCAAGGAACAAGCCUUUAAGAGAGGUAAUAAAACCACCACCAAAUGGAAGAAAUUAGCUACUUGAUGAUCAUGAACACAUAGCUCCCAGACCUUCUGGAGCCUAAGGAUUGAUAAUAUUACCCUCUGUGACUCCACCCAGUUGCCUCACCAUCAACCAAUCAGAGAAUUGUGCACAAGCUGAUCACACACCCUGGGACCCCCUCCAUCACCUUGCCUUUAAAAAUGUCUUGCUGAAACCCAUCAAGAAGUUCAGGAGUUUUGAGAACUAGCUAUUGGACUCCUUGCUUGGCUCCC